GACGAACGCUGGCGGCGUGCUUAACACAUGCAAGUCGAACGGAAAGGCCCUGCUUUUGUGGGGUGCUCGAGUGGCGAACGGGUGAGUAACACGUGAGUAACCUGCCCUUGACUUUGGGAUAACUUCAGGAAACUGGGGCUAAUACCGGAUAGGAGCUCCUGCUGCAUGGUGGGGGUUGGAACGUUUCGGCGGUUGGGGAUGGACGCGCGGCUUAUCAGCUUGUUGGUGGGGUAGUGGCAUACCAAGGCUUUGACGGGUAGCCGGCCUGAGAGGGUGACCGGCGACAUGGGGACUGAGAUACGGCCCAGACUCCUACGGGAGGCAGCAGUGGGGAAUAUUGCACAAUGGGCGGAAGCCUGAUGCAGCAACGCCGCGUGCGGGAUGACGGCCUUCGGGGUGUAAACCGCUUUCGCCUGUGACGAAGCGUGAGUGACGGUAAUGGGUAAAGAAGCACCGGCUAACUACGUG
RNAcentral lists this ribosomal RNA (468 nucleotides) under uncultured bacterium. RNAcentral describes it as "partial 16S ribosomal RNA". It matches the Rfam family "Bacterial small subunit ribosomal RNA", at positions 28 to 507 of the family's 1533-position model. The record is from RNAcentral.